Molecule: ribosomal RNA, 508 nt
Filed under: uncultured bacterium
Lineage: Bacteria
Description: partial 16S ribosomal RNA
Rfam family: Bacterial small subunit ribosomal RNA
Source: RNAcentral
GAUUAACGCUGGCGGCAUGCCUUAUGCAUGCAAGUCGAGCGAGAACCAGGGCUUCGGCCCUGGGGACAGCGGCGAACGGGUGAGUAACACGUGGGUAAUCAACCCUCGACACUGGGAUAGCCCGGGGAAACCCGGAUUAAUACCGGAUACCCCGUCCGGCCUUCGGGCCGGCCGGAAAAGGUAGCUUCGGCCUCCGGUCGGGGCCGGGCCCGCGGCGGAUUAGCUUGUUGGCGGGGUAAUGGCCCACCAAGGCGACGAUCCGUAGCUGGUCUGAGAGGACGAUCAGCCACACUGGGACUGAGACACGGCCCAGACUCCUACGGGAGGCAGCAGUAGGGAAUCUUGCGCAAUGGGCGAAAGCCUGACGCAGCGACGCCGCGUGAGGGAAGAAGGCCUUCGGGUUGUAAACCUCUUUCAGGAGGGACGAAGCCACUCGGGUUAAUAGCCCAGAGGGUGACGGUACCUCCAGAAGAAGCCCCGGCUAACUACGUGCCAGCCGCCGCCGUAA